This 1903-nucleotide long non-coding RNA is filed under the name Solanum tuberosum (potato). RNAcentral's name for it is "long non-coding RNA (STUB_LNC008511)". Lineage: Eukaryota; Viridiplantae; Streptophyta; Magnoliopsida; Solanales; Solanaceae. The record is from RNAcentral.
CCUUUCUUAGUCUCCACUCUCCAACCGAUUGAAUGCUCCUGACACUACAACUUCCUUAUUUAGCAUAUGGCAUAAGAGAACAUUAACAUAAAUAAAUUGUAAAAAAAAAAAAAUCAGUAUGACAUCGAAAACUUUACACAGAAAAGUUCAAAUUAUGAAUAGUUUGAUAAACUCAAAUGGUUCAAAACUGUGAAAAUUGUAUAAGGAUGUACAGUAAUUGUUAAAAUCCAGCUUCAGCCUAAAAUAUUGAAGAAAAACACAAACUGUGAACAAGAUGGACUAACCGGAGAGAGAAUCGUCGAAAUCGGAAUUACUGUCGCAGAAAGGUUUAGGUUGGCUAUUGAGAUAGGUGAAAACAUAGUUGCAGGAAAAUGCGACGGCGGAGGCAACGACGACGACGGCGAUGAACCUUGAAAACUCCGAUUUAGAGGAAGGGAAUAAGUUUGAGGAAGGUUGUAAAGGAAUACUUCUGGAUGAUGUAGAAAGACGAGAAGAAGAAGAGGAGGAAGUUUUGUUUUUGGUGGGGUUAGGGUUAGGGCUUCGAGAAGAUGGUCGUGUUCGAGGACCGGAAGCCAUUGAUGAACGCAAUUCAAAGUUUGAACUUUAAAAUAUAAUUAGUACAUAAUUUGAACUUUGCAGUACAUAAUGUGUAGUUAGAUUGCCCUUAAAAAUAGUUUUUGCAAUCAAAGAGAGGUUAUUAGGGAAAAGGUGAGAGUGGUCGUAGAUUAAAAAAAAGAGAGUAAAAUUGAGAGAGUUUAAAUAUGCAAUGAUGUAAAGAAAAAGUGUGUAGACAACCUAGUAAAAAGAUAUGAGAGUCGGGAUGUUGGGGGAAUGCGAAAGAAUAGAGGCAGAUUGAAAAAGUAUUGGAGAGAUAAUUAGACAUGAUAUGGCAUAAUUUCAUAUUGUCUAAGACAUAACUUUAAAUAGGUAGAGUGAAUGUCGUUUAUUAAGGCAAAAGAGGUAGAUUGUUCUCUUGUGUAACAAAAGUUUGGGCGUAUUAGUACCUUGUUGCAGUACUAGUCAUACCUCUUUGUACGUUUCGAACUUUUGAUUAUAUGUUGUGUAUUGUGUUUUGAUUAUUACACUAUUUUAUUGUAGACUUUAAAAUAUUUUUUACUAAUUAUUAUACUUUCUUUAGUUUAGUUUGAUGAACUUGAGUCGAGGAUCUUUUAAAAACAACUUUUCUAUCUCUACAAAAUAGUAAAAAUGUCAACGUACACUUUAACCUUCUCAGAUUCUACUUUAGUGAGAUUUCUCUAAAGUAGAAUCUCACUAAAGUAAUACAUUAGGAAUAUUAUAAUUUCAAAAUUGAGUUUGUAGCAUAUGGCAUAAGAGAACAUUAACAUAAAUUGUAAAAAAAAUAAAUCAGUAUGACAUCGAAAACUUUACACAGAAAAGUUAAAUUAUGAAUAAUUUGAUAAACUCAAAUGGUUCAAAUCUGUGAAAAUUGUAUAAGGAAGUACAGUAAUUGUUAAUAUCCAGCUUCAGCCUAAAACAUUGAAGAAAAACACAAACUGUGAACAAGAUGGACUAACCGGAGAGAGAAUCGUCGAAAUCGGAAUUACUGUCGCAGAAAGGUUUAGGUUGGCUAUUGAGAUAGGUGAAAACAUAGUUACAGGAAAAUGCGACGGCGGAGGCAACGACGACGACGGCGAUGAACCUUAAAAACUCCGAUUUAGAGGAAGGGAAUAAGUUUGAGGAAGGUUGUAAAGGAAUACUUCUGGAUGAUGUAGAAGGACGAGAAGAAGAAGAGGAGGAAGUUUUGUUUUUGGUGGGUUUAGGGUUAGGGCUUUGAGAAGAUGGUCUAAGUGAGCGUGUUCCAGAACUGGAAGCCAUUGAUGAACACAAUUCAAAGUUUAAAACUUUAAAAUAUAAUAUUCUGAAGUUUCAAUUAGUACAUAAU